This is a long non-coding RNA of Carassius auratus (goldfish), 2757 nucleotides long. RefSeq lists it as uncharacterized. The record is from RefSeq and is a predicted model, not a curated record. Lineage: Eukaryota; Metazoa; Chordata; Actinopteri; Cypriniformes; Cyprinidae. The transcript is spliced from 4 exons.
AGGGUGACAAAGUUUCAAAUGUAUAUUUUAGGUCUUCCUCAUCUAUAUUUAAUUUAUUGCUCGUCAUUGUUAAAACGAUUGAGAUGCCAAUCAAAGCGCACAGCAGCCAAUCGAAGGCUUUAGAUUAGUCACGCUUGUUAAAGUCACGUGCUCGUGACUGAAUUCACCGCGUUCACGGAGUCUCUCGUCUUAAACAACAAAUAGUGUUUUAGCGACAUAAAUGAAUUUCAUCGGAUCACAACCCUUCCUUUACACUCCAAAAUUCAUGUCCAAACUGGAUCUGUUCUCUGAUGAUCUGCUAAAAGUGUUUACCAAAAAGGGUGGAGUGUUUAGAAAAAAGAUUCAAGAUGUGAUGCUGCCAAUGUCUCAGACCAAGCAAGAGUGCAUUCUCAAGGGGCUAUGCAUCUACCUGAAUGAAGAUGAAUAUGAUGGAGUAUUUGCUGAGAUCUUUUUCGUUACAAACAGUUAUCACAAGUAAUAACAAACUUGACCUUGCAAAAGACGUGGCAUGAACUGCGUCUAAAAAAAUUUCAAUUUAAAAGCAGAGGCACUUUCUUGUAUAUACGUUUGUAUGUUUAAAUAUCAAAAGACAUUCCCCAUCAAAACUGCUGAUGGGUAAAGAGUUAAUGUACAUUAUUAAAUUUUAAAAUAUUGAGUAAAUUGUAAAGCUCAGAUAUGAAUUAAAUGACUGAUGUUAACUUCUCUUUAAACCUUUGUACUCCACACAGCCACUGGUUUAGGUUUACGUGAUAUCAUCCUGUUUGAUAAGCACAGUUCUUGAUAGUCAAUUCGAUUCACCUUUAUUUAUAUAGCACUUUACACAAUACACAUGGUCAAAGCAGCAUAAUUAAACACGAAAAUAGUUUGUCGGUAAUGCAAGAGGACAAUAACAAACAGACAGUUUUUGUUUUGUUUUUUAAGAAAAUGUCAGUUCAUUGAUUAUUCAGUGAUGUCAUCAUCCAGUUCAACUCUCUUCCAAUAGUGUCUAUGCAAUCAGUCAAGCAUCCCCAUUCGCCAACGGUGGCAGUGGCAAGGAACCAAAACUUAAAGGGAUGGUUCACUUUCAAAUUAAAUUUUGGUAUGUUUUAGUUUACCUCAAGGACUUCCAAAAUGUAGGUGUCCUUGUUUCCUCAGUAUUUCCCAUUUUGAUAUUUUUAGGUCAAACUGUUCUUGUCUGUGACUAAUAUAAUGGAGGUCUAUGGUCACCACCUCAAAGAGCAUGCACAGAGAAGUCCAAAUUAAACAAUUCCCCACCGUAAGUACACAUUGAUGACCUAAGACAUUGCAUCACACACCUGUCUGACUGAAGAUCCUGAGUUUCCUCCGCUGUUGAGCCGCAGCGUUUUGCACAUUGUGUUUAGUUUGCCACGUAUAAACUGGAGGCGACGUCCAAUGCCAGAGGGAGCCAAUGGCACACUGUCAAUAGAGUGAGUAAUGUGUUGUUUAUUAUAAUUGCAACGAUUAUAGGGUGCAUUAUAAACAAAUUAAUAAUUACAGUUACUGCAUUAUAUUUCGGACAAUGCAGAUUGGUGGUGUAUUGUGUGGUAAACAGUAAACAAUGAGUGAUGUACACGCACGAGAGAUCGCUUCCGGUGCUUUCCGCGCUUGAGCAGACUAAGCCAGAGCUCGUGCGCACGUCACGUCAGGAAGCACUCGUGCACUCGGAUCAGUUGGACGUGGUUGUGUACAGGAGAUAAAACCAAAAUAAAUAGUUCAUUUUCUUACAACAAACCGUUUGUUUCAUGUCUUAGGUCAUCAAUGUGUACUUGUGAUGGGGAAUUGUUUAAUGUGGAAUUCUCUGUGCAUGGAGGUGGUGACCAUUGUCAAACUAGGCCUGGACUACAUCAAGGACCGUCUGGAGGAGGAGACUUUGCAUCAGCCGGCAGCUGAUGGUCCCAGUGGCUCUGAGGAAGAGGACGUCUCUGCGAGCAUGAAGUCUACUCAUGGUCAGGAAGGUAUCAAGCAGUUCGAUGGCUACCUUGCCUGCAAAGCUGAUGACAGAGACGUUCUCAAGUCCUUCCCAUCCGUCUGUAAGAUGUCUUUGAAGCUCAAUACUGCUUUACUCUGCAGCUUGUGAACGUCUUUUCAGCACAGCAGGGCUUAUUUUCAGUCCCAGGAGGGCAAGAAUGGACUCGCACACCUUUGAGAAUCAGCUCCUUCUCAAGCUGAAUAAAAGAUAUUGCCACUUUAGUUAGAUCAUCAGUGCCAUACUGUACUAGCAUGCUCACCAGAAGUACACUUAAUGGAAAGCUGAUUAAUAAUGUUUACUGCCACAACUGUUGUUCAUUGCCAUUUGAGGCUUGUUAUUUUAGUAUGUCACUUGUGAUGACAGGUUAUGUAAUUUGUUUUGAGAUUUUCACACUAUGCUGAGGUCACCUUACUUGAUAUAUUUUAUUCAUUUAUUUUUUUUAGUAUCACCAGUUUCAUGUGAAGCAGUAUAGAGUUAAUAAUACACAAAUACUGACAAUUACAUGUAAAAGCAUUACUAAAUAUUGUUCCUGACAGUGUGGGGAAAUUCAUAACUGAAAUAGUAUUAUAUACCCCUUCUAUAUGCAGUUGUGACUGGCAAGUGCGUUUCUUCUGAUCACAAACACUAGUUCCUAUUACAGUGAAUCUGAUAUGGCCAGUUUAUAUUUAUACACAGACACAUUCAGAUAUGAUAUAGUAAAGGAAAACUCAUGUUAACCUGUGUUUUGCAAGUUUAAGUUUAAAUAAAAACUUGGAUAACUGUUACAAAUAAAUGUUAAACUGAAACUA